RNAcentral lists this ribosomal RNA (428 nucleotides) under Bacteroidota bacterium. Its description in RNAcentral is "Bacteroidetes bacterium partial 16S ribosomal RNA". It matches the Rfam family "Bacterial small subunit ribosomal RNA", at positions 355 to 776 of the family's 1533-position model. The record is from RNAcentral. Lineage: Bacteria; Pseudomonadati; Bacteroidota.
UAGGGAAUCUUCCGCAAUGGACGCAAGUCUGACGGAGCAACGCCGCGUGAGUGAAGAAGGAUUUCGGUUCGUAAAACUCUGUUGUUAGAGAAGAACAGCGCAUAGAGUAACUGUUAUGCGUGUGACGGUAUCUAACCAGAAAGCCACGGCUAACUACGUGCCAGCAGCCGCGGUAAUACGUAGGUGGCAAGCGUUGUCCGGAUUUAUUGGGCGUAAGCGAGCGCAGGCGGUCAAUUAAGUCUGAUGUGAAAGCCCCCGGCUCAACCGGGGAGGGUCAUUGGAAACUGGUUGACUUGAGUGCAGAAGAGGGGAGUGGAAUUCCAUGUGUAGCGGUGAAAUGCGUAGAUAUAUGGAGGAACACCAGUGGCGAAGGCGACUCUCUGGUCUGUAACUGACGCUGAGGCUCGAAAGCGUGGGUAGCAAACAGG